AUACGGAGGGGGUUAGCGUUGUUCGGAAUUACUGGGCGUAAAGCGCACGUAGGCGGACUGGAAAGUUGGGGGUGAAAUCCCGGGGCUCAACCCCGGAACUGCCUCCAAAACUUCCAAUCUAGAGAUCGAGAGAGGUGAGUGGAAUUCCAAGUGUAGAGGUGAAAUUCGUAGAUAUUUGGAGGAACACCAGUGGCGAAGGCGGCUCACUGGCUCGAUACUCACGCUGAGGUGCGAAAGCGUGGGGAGCAAACAGGAUUAGAAACCCCGGUAGUCC
This 274-nucleotide ribosomal RNA is filed under the name uncultured bacterium. Its description in RNAcentral is "partial 16S ribosomal RNA". It matches the Rfam family "Bacterial small subunit ribosomal RNA", at positions 523 to 796 of the family's 1533-position model. The record is from RNAcentral.